RNAcentral lists this ribosomal RNA (500 nucleotides) under uncultured bacterium. RNAcentral's name for it is "bacterial SSU rRNA". It matches the Rfam family "Bacterial small subunit ribosomal RNA", at positions 34 to 518 of the family's 1533-position model. The record is from RNAcentral.
CGCUGGCGGCGUGCCUAACACAUGCAAGUCGAGCGGGGACAUGCGACGGACCUGAAGAUUCGGUUGGAUGGAAAGAUGUAUUGUCUAGCGGCGGACGGGUGAGUAACGCGUGAGCAACCUGUCCCUUACAGGGGGAUAACACAGCGAAAGUUGUACUAAUACCGCAUAAGACCACGGUGGGACAUCCUACAGGGGGUCAAAGGAGCAAUCCGGUAAGGGGUGGGCUCGCGUCCGAUUAGAUAGUUGGUGAGGUAACGGCCCACCAAGUCGACGAUCGGUAGCCGACCUGAGAGGGUGAUCGGCCACAUUGGGACUGAGACACGGCCCAAACUCCUACGGGAGGCAGCAGUGGGGAAUAUUGGGCAAUGGGGGGAAACCCCCUGACCCAGCAACGCCGCGUGAGGGAAGAAGGUUUUCGGAUCGUAAACCUCUGUCCUUGGUGAAGAGGAAGAGACGGUAGCCAAGGAGGAAGCCCCGGCUAACUACGUGCCAGCCGCUGC